CUAGAGAUAGAAAGUUACUUCGGUACAUCGGUGACAGGUGGUGCAUGGUUGUCGUCAGCUCGUGUCGUGAGAUGUUGGGUUAAGUCCCGCAACGAGCGCAACCCCUAUUGUUAGUUGCCAUCAUUCAGUUGGGCACUCUAGCGAGACUGCCGGUAAUAAACCGGAGGAAGGUGGGGAUGACGUCAAAUCAUCAUGCCCCUUAUGACCUGGGCUACACACGUGCUACAAUGGUUGGUACAACGAGUUGCGAGUCGGUGACGGCGAGCUAAUCUCUUAAAGCCAAUCUCAGUUCGGAUUGUAGGCUGCAACUCGCCUACAUGAAGUCGGAAUCGCUAGUAAUCGCGGAUCAGCACGCCGCGGUGAAUACGUUCCCGGGCCUU
Molecule: ribosomal RNA, 380 nt
Filed under: uncultured Streptococcus sp.
Lineage: Bacteria; Bacillati; Bacillota; Bacilli; Lactobacillales; Streptococcaceae
Description: bacterial SSU rRNA
Rfam family: Bacterial small subunit ribosomal RNA
Source: RNAcentral